CUUGUUGGUGGGGUAAUGGCCUACCAAGGCUUUGACGGGUAGCCGGCCUGAGAGGGCGACCGGCCACACUGGGACUGAGACACGGCCCAGACUCCUGCGGGAGGCAGCAGUGGGGAAUAUUGCACAAUGGGCGAAAGCCCGAUGCAGCGACGCCGCGUGAGGGAUGACGGCCUUCGGGUUGUAAACCUCUUUCAGCAGGGACGAAGCGAAAGUGACUGUACCUGCAGAAGAAGCACCGGCUAACUACGUGCCAGCAGCCGCGGUAAUACGUAGGGUGCGAGCGUUGUCCGGAUUUAUUGGGCGUAAAGAGCUUGUAGGCGGCUCGUCACGUCGGGUGUGAAAACUCGCGGCUCAACCGCGAGCCUGCACCCGAUACGGGCGGGCUGGAGUUCGGCAGGGGAGACUGGAAUUCCUGGUGUAGCGGUGGAAUGCGCAGAUAUCAGGAGGAACACCGGUGGCGAAGGCGGGUCUCUGGGCCGAUACUGACGCUGAGAAGCGAAAGCGUGGGGAGCGAACAGGAUUAGAUACCCUGGUAGUCCACGCCGUAAACGUUGGGAACUAGGUGUGGGGUCCAUUCCACGGGCUCUGUGCCGCAGCUAACGCAUUAAGU
Molecule: ribosomal RNA, 610 nt
Filed under: uncultured Actinomycetes bacterium
Lineage: Bacteria; Bacillati; Actinomycetota; Actinomycetes
Description: bacterial SSU rRNA
Rfam family: Bacterial small subunit ribosomal RNA
Source: RNAcentral